Molecule: non-coding RNA, 396 nt
Organism: Phoenix dactylifera (date palm)
Lineage: Eukaryota; Viridiplantae; Streptophyta; Magnoliopsida; Arecales; Arecaceae
Source: RefSeq, a predicted model, not a curated record
UGCUUCUUUUGCUAUUGAAAGUGUAUGAUCCAACCUCAAAGUUUUUGCUAGAAGCAAUGAGAUUGGAAGAUCAAGCACAGGGUAUCAAAAGCUGGACUGGUUGUGAAGCAAUGUACAUACAACAAAUCGCUUGAAUUACUGAUCCUUCCUUGGAAAAUAAAAUGUCCCAGUAGUAAAUCAGGUGUAUGAGCCUGAUCAAUCAUUAUAUUUCCCUUUUCGCUAAAGGAUAUUGUGCUAGAGGUAGUAAGACUGGAAUUCGCCUUCGCACAAUUACAAUACCCUUCGAUGUUCGACAGACAACAACUUAAAAGCAAUUGAUGCAGAAGCCUUGCAGAUACGAAGCGUGCCUAUUUCAUGAACAAUAUAUUCAGCAUGUCUGCUGUCUUGAUAAACAAG